RNAcentral lists this ribosomal RNA (402 nucleotides) under Escherichia coli. RNAcentral describes it as "bacterial SSU rRNA". It matches the Rfam family "Bacterial small subunit ribosomal RNA", at positions 1 to 397 of the family's 1533-position model. Lineage: Bacteria; Pseudomonadati; Pseudomonadota; Gammaproteobacteria; Enterobacterales; Enterobacteriaceae. The record is from RNAcentral.
UUAAAUUGAAGAGUUUGAUCAUGGCUCAGAUUGAACGCUGGCGGCAGGCCUAACACAUGCAAGUCGAACGGUAACAGGAAGAAGCUUGCUUCUUUGCUGACGAGUGGCGGACGGGUGAGUAAUGUCUGGGAAACUGCCUGAUGGAGGGGGAUAACUACUGGAAACGGUAGCUAAUACCGCAUAACGUCGCAAGACCAAAGAGGGGGACCUUCGGGCCUCUUGCCAUCGGAUGUGCCCAGAUGGGAUUAGCUAGUAGGUGGGGUAACGGCUCACCUAGGCGACGAUCCCUAGCUGGUCUGAGAGGAUGACCAGCCACACUGGAACUGAGACACGGUCCAGACUCCUACGGGAGGCAGCAGUGGGGAAUAUUGCACAAUGGGCGCAAGCCUGAUGCAGCCAUGC